This 776-nucleotide long non-coding RNA is filed under the name Crocodylus porosus (Australian saltwater crocodile). RNAcentral describes it as "lncRNA (ENSCPRG00005008362.1)". Lineage: Eukaryota; Metazoa; Chordata; Crocodylia; Crocodylidae. The record is from RNAcentral.
CCUUAGUGCCUGUUAAAUCUGGACAUUGAAGCACCAGGCAAACCUGGGCUAAUGAAGCCUCAACACCCCAAAGAUGCCUUGUUUAGUGCAGUUAUGGAAUCCCCCUGUGACAUGUCUGCCUGACUUCACCGCUGAACUAAUUAUAUCAUGAAGUCAUCUGAUGAGUGGUGCAGGUUGUCCAGAGAAGUGGACAGAGAGAACAAAGAGGACAGAGAUGCAACUGGACCUGGAGAUAGCGGGAAGGACUACAACCGGAUCAGCAGCAGGGAAGUGACAGUGACAGCAACAAGGACAGUGAAUGAACUGAGACUGUAAACCCCAAAUUGGGGGUUGGACUAAAGGGCUACGAUUUGGAUAGGUAAGGGUGGAGGGAGGGUCUGCAGGGGCGUAGAGGAUUGGAUGCAUUUAUUGUAACGGGAAGUGCAGGUUUCUUAAUGCAGUUUUAAGAUGUGUGAUGGAAAGCUUAUAACCAAGAAUGCAUAUAUAUAACUCUCUAUAUAUAGAAAUAUAUUUUGAUUAAAAAAAAAAAAAAAGUCUCACUGAGAAUCCCACCAGCCUUGUUUUCCUGUGUCCCCUGCACCUGCUGGGACAGACUUCACCUUGCCCACUCCCGGGCACUUGAAUUCUUGGUGCUUUCAGUGCCUUCUCCAUUAACUCACAAGGCCCAGCUGGAUGCCUGUUGUCAAAUGAUUUCCAUGAUACAAAGAAGAAAAGCUAAAUUCUUUUAAUCCUUUCAGGGUGUCGAGCCAGCUCAGAAAAAGCCACCUCCUUUGAGC